UUUCCGUUGGUGAACCAGCGGAAGGAGAAUUACAGAGAUAAUGGCCUCACGGGUAGACCUCCCACCCUGUGUUAUAUACUCUUGUUGCUUUGGCAGGCCGCCUUCGGGCUCCCGGCUUCGGCUGGGGUGUGCCUGCCAGAGGACCCCAACUCUUUUGUUUAAAUGUCGUCUGAGUACUAUAUAAUAAGUUAAAACUUUCAACAACGGAUCUCUUGGUUCUGGCAGCGAUGAAGAACGCAGC
RNAcentral lists this unclassified non-coding RNA (241 nucleotides) under uncultured fungus. RNAcentral describes it as "sequence contains ITS1, 5.8S rRNA gene". The stretch from base 193 to 241 matches the Rfam family "5.8S ribosomal RNA", at positions 1 to 49 of the family's 154-position model. The record is from RNAcentral. Lineage: Eukaryota; Fungi.